UGGGGAAUUUUGGACAAUGGGGGCAACCCUGAUCCAGCAAUGCCGCGUGAGUGAAGAAGGCCUUCGGGUUGUAAAGCUCUUUUGUCAGGGAAGAAACAGCAGCUCUAACACAGCUGUGAAUGACGGUACCUGAAGAAUAAGCACCGGCUAACUACGUGCCAGCAGCCGCGGUAAUACGUAGGGUGCAAGCGUUAAUCGGAAUUACUGGGCGUAAAGCGUGCGCAGGCGGUUAUACAAGACAGGCGUGAAAUCCCCGGGCUUAACCUGGGAAUUGCGUCUGUGACUGUAUGGCUAGAGUGUGUCAGAGGGGGGUAGAAUUCCACGUGUAGCAGUGAAAUGCGUAGAUAUGUGGAGGAAUACCAAUGGCGAAGGCAGCCCCCUGGGAUAACACUGACGCUCAUGCACGAAAGCGUGGGGAGCAAACAGGAUUAGAUACCCUGGUAGUCCACGCCCUAAACGAUGCUGACUAGUUGUUCGGGAUUUUAUCCUGAGUAACGUAGCUAACGCGUGAAGUCAGCCGCCUGGGGAGUACGGUCGCAAGAUUA
This 545-nucleotide ribosomal RNA is filed under the name uncultured prokaryote. Its description in RNAcentral is "bacterial SSU rRNA". It matches the Rfam family "Bacterial small subunit ribosomal RNA", at positions 355 to 896 of the family's 1533-position model. The record is from RNAcentral.